Long non-coding RNA from Syngnathus typhle (broad-nosed pipefish), 371 nucleotides. RefSeq lists it as uncharacterized. The record is from RefSeq and is a predicted model, not a curated record. The transcript is spliced from 3 exons. Lineage: Eukaryota; Metazoa; Chordata; Actinopteri; Syngnathiformes; Syngnathidae.
AGACUCGGAAAGGAGAAAUGCUAAAAAGACAAGCACACUCCUCAUCUGUGGCACCAGAGAUGAUGAGCCACAAGUGAAAAUGCACACUUGACAUUGGGAAAGCAAUCAUUUUCUACGUAUUAAAGGGGGAGCAUGUUACAGCAAGAAAAGGACAGGACUCAUGAUUGAACCCUGGGGGACACCAAAAGGAACAGGGCAAGAGAGGAUAAGGCCCGGCCUUCUGAAUACUGAACAAGAUCUUGGUGGAGACCUCUGAACCCGACGGGGCCAUCGCUCAGACUGCUUCGGCAGCGGGAAGUUCAAAGGUCACGAGCUGACCUGGGAGGAAGCCAGCGAGACAGAAACACAGACCGGGCGGGGGCACACCGAGG